CGCCUAACACAUGCAAGUCGAACGAAGUAGCAAUACUUAGUGGCAGACGGGUGAGUAACAUGUAGGUAUCUGCCCUUUGGCCUGGAAUAACACGAGGAAACUUGUGCUAAUACCGGAUAAGUCUUUACGGAGAAAGCUUUAUGCACCAUUGGAUGAGCCUGCACUUGAUUAGUUUGUUGGUGGGGUAAUGGCCUACCAAGACUGUGAUCAAUAGCUGAUUUGAGAGGAUGAUCAGCCACAUUGGGACUGAGACACGGCCCAAACUCCUACGGGAGGCAGCAGUGGGGAAUCUUGCACAAUGGAGGAAACUCUGAUGCAGCGAUGCCGCGUGAGUGAAGAAGGCCUUUGGGUUGUAAAGCUCUUUCGUCGGGGAAGAAAAUGACUGUACCCGAAUAAGAAGGUCCGGCUAACUUCGUGCCAGCAGCCGCGGUAAUACGAAGGGACCUAGCGUAGUUCGGAAUUACUGGGCUUAAAGAGUUCGUAGGUGGUUGAAAAAGUUGGUGGUGAAAUCCCAGAGCUUAACUCUGGAACUGCCAUCAAAACUUUUCAGCUAGAGUAUGAUAGAGGAAAGCAGAAUUUCUAGUGUAGAGGUGAAAUUCGUAGAUAUUAGAAAGAAUACCAAUUGCGAAGGCAGCUUUCUGGAUCAUUACUGACACUGAGGAACGAAAGCAUGGGUAGCGAAGAGGAUUAGAUACCCUCGUAGUCCAUGCCGUAAACGAUGUGUGUUAGACGUUGGAAAUUUAUUUUCAGUGUCGCAGCGAAAGCGAUAAACACACCGCCUGGGGAGUACGA
RNAcentral lists this ribosomal RNA (792 nucleotides) under uncultured Pelagibacteraceae bacterium. Its description in RNAcentral is "bacterial SSU rRNA". It matches the Rfam family "Bacterial small subunit ribosomal RNA", at positions 45 to 885 of the family's 1533-position model. Lineage: Bacteria; Pseudomonadati; Pseudomonadota; Alphaproteobacteria; Candidatus Pelagibacterales; Candidatus Pelagibacteraceae. The record is from RNAcentral.